This is a non-coding RNA of Meleagris gallopavo (turkey), 1210 nucleotides long. Lineage: Eukaryota; Metazoa; Chordata; Aves; Galliformes; Phasianidae. The record is from RefSeq and is a predicted model, not a curated record.
UGUAAUGAGGAACACUGGUGCAGCCCUCCCCCAGGAAGAUGGUCCCAUUUGUACAAAAGGAGGCUCCUGCUGGGCUGCUUUAUGAAUGUGGAGGCCUUCAGCCCUGAUUAAAUUGGGUAACCAGCUGUUUUCCAGAGCAGACGGAGAAAUCCUUGGAUUGGUGCCGUUCUUCUUCUCAGUGUUAGGAUGCUUGUAAUACAUGAAUGAAAACAUGGUGUAUAUUUCACUGUGGCCUUGCUGUAGGAAAAGCAAUCCUUCAGCUGCAUUAGAAACUUCUCUAACAGAGACAAGAAAGAAAAGCAAAGGGGUGAGCCUGAACAACUCUGCAGGAAGUUCUGCCGUGCUGGUUAAGGAGCAUCUGAUCCCAAACAGCUACAGAGCUGCCCCUUAGCCAGGCCCCAGCCGUGCUUUGUGCUCAUGGUCUGUGGAGCUGGGCUGUGCAUAAGGAAAUAAAGGAAGAAUGAGAGAAGAAGCCCCUUGAAAUGAGUAUAAGAAUGCUGGAGCUGAAAUCCGUUACAGCAGAGAUGAUGAAGCCUUCCAUGAGAAACUGACUGAUGAAUCAGGGCGUCUUUCAAUUGUCUGAAUAAUGAGCCCACUCUUCCCUCUUGCUGAGAAACAUAUGGGAUGUGAGGAAACCAGCUGGAAACCCAGCCACAGCUCUCGUUUAACAUCCCCUCUGCUAGAAGAAGGAAGGUGGUACCUUAUGAGAAAGGAUGGUUUGAGGGAAACCUGGGUAUUCAGUCAAAGCAAAUUCAGUCCUAUUGAGUCUUCUACCUCUUGACAUUUGUUCCUCUUGUAUCAGUUAUCAAUGGGAAUACCACAGAAAGCUGAGAUGCUCAUCCAACAGUGAUUAAUGCUGGCUGGUCUAUGGAAGUCAGUUCCACUUCUUUGUUUUGGUGUGCAUCAUCCUGGAACUUCUGACCUUGUGGAAAUGCCCCACCAGUCAUAUCUUUCAGAUCCUUGUGUUUGAGAAAGGCAUUUUUCAAGAGAGGAGAGGAGAUAUGAGGGAAAUAUCUUACCAUGACACAUCUUAAUAUUGAUUUUGUUGACCUUUCUUUCAUUCUGCUCAACAUCAGUAACUUCACUGUGUGUUCAGAACCGAGCCACCUCUGUGGGCAAAGCCCCUAGCAGCUGCCAUCCUCAGCAUCAGCCUUGGCGACAUGUAGGAUUCUGCUCACGUCUUGCUCUGAAGUCGAGGCAAGCUCAAACA